AAGAUUUCUUCGGAUUGAAUCUUAAAUAUCUUAGCGGCGAACGGGUGAGUAACGCGUGAGAAACCUGCCUUUCACAAAGGGAUAGCCUCGGGAAACUGGGAUUAAUACCUUAUGAUACUUUUUCUUCGCAUGAGGAAAAAGUCAAAGCGUAAAGCGGUGAAAGAUGGUCUCGCGUCCCAUUAGUUAGUUGGUGAGGUAACGGCUCACCAAGACAGCGAUGGGUAGCCGGCCUGAGAGGGUGAACGGCCACACUGGAACUGAGACACGGUCCAGACUCCUACGGGAGGCAGCAGUGGGGAAUAUUGCACAAUGGAGGAAACUCUGAUGCAGCGACGCCGCGUGAACGAUGAAGGCUUUCGAGUCGUAAAGUUCUGUCCUAGGGGACGAUAAUGACGGUACCCUAGGAGGAAGCCCCGGCUAACUACGUGCCAGCAGCCGCGGUAAUACGUAGGGGGCAAGCGUUGUCCGGAUUUAUUGGGCGUAAAGGGUACGCAGGCGGCCUUUUAAGUCAGAUGUGAAAGAUCACGGCUCAACCGUGGUAAGCAUUUGAAACUGGAAGGCUUGAGUUAAGGAGAGGAAAGUGGAAUUCCUAGUGUAGCGGUGAAAUGCGUAGAUAUUAGGAGGAAUACCAGUGGCGAAGGCGACUUUCUGGACUUAUACUGACGCUGAGGUACGAAAGCGUGGGGAGCGAACAGGAUUAGAUACCCUGGUAGUCCACGCCGUAAACGAUGAGUGCUAGGUGUCGGGGGUCAAACCUCGGUGCCGCAGCUAACGCAUUAAGCACUCCGCCUGGGGAGUACGUACGCAAGUAUGAAACUCAAAGGAAUUGACGGGGACCCGC
RNAcentral lists this ribosomal RNA (841 nucleotides) under Tissierella sp. RNAcentral describes it as "bacterial SSU rRNA". It matches the Rfam family "Bacterial small subunit ribosomal RNA", at positions 71 to 924 of the family's 1533-position model. Lineage: Bacteria; Bacillati; Bacillota; Tissierellia; Tissierellales; Tissierellaceae. The record is from RNAcentral.